GCAUAUGCAAUCUCUUGUCCCAACUCUCAAGAUCUCUUAAUUUAUCUGGGAGAAAGGUUAGUAAUAGCUUUUAAAUUUGGUUGCAUGGAUGAUAUUCCUCUCCGAGAGAAGGAGCAGAAGCCUCUUACUGAAGUGCCACAAUUUGAAUUGCAUGUUCAUGGAAGGGCAAUUAAAAUAUCAGAACUUAAUACAUACUGUGGUUAAGGAGAUCACUUAUGAGAGGUUGCAAGAGGAGAACAAAAUUGCGUAGAAGUGUACAAGGCUGGGCAUGAAAUGAGAGUAACAACAAUGGAUUCUAGCCUCUGGGUGUUGUAAGGUGUGUUGACUAAUAUAUAGAAGAUACUUAAAAGUCCAAAUAUCUGAUGCCCCACACUGUGCCAUGAUCAUCG
Long non-coding RNA from Lolium rigidum, 389 nucleotides. RefSeq lists it as uncharacterized. The record is from RefSeq and is a predicted model, not a curated record. The transcript is spliced from 4 exons. Lineage: Eukaryota; Viridiplantae; Streptophyta; Magnoliopsida; Poales; Poaceae.